UAAGAUGCCCGUUAUAAUACA
Molecule: non-coding RNA, 21 nt
Filed under: Caenorhabditis elegans
Lineage: Eukaryota; Metazoa; Nematoda; Chromadorea; Rhabditida; Rhabditidae
Source: RNAcentral